This 76-nucleotide transfer RNA is filed under the name Acidobacteriota bacterium. RNAcentral's name for it is "Acidobacteria bacterium (sediment metagenome) tRNA-Glu". It matches the Rfam family "tRNA". Rfam says of the family: Transfer RNA (tRNA) molecules are approximately 80 nucleotides in length. Their secondary structure includes four short double-helical elements and three loops (D, anti-codon, and T loops). Lineage: Bacteria; Pseudomonadati; Acidobacteriota. RNAcentral also lists the same sequence under 4 other names. The record is from RNAcentral.
GGCGCAUUCGUCUAGGGGUCCAGGACGCCGGCCUCUCACGCCGGUAACACGGGUUCGAAUCCCGUAUGCGCUACCA